UACGUAGGGUGCGAGCGUUGUCCGGAAUUAUUGGGCGUAAAGAGCUUGUAGGUGGCUCGUUGCGUCGGGAGUGAAAACCUGCGGCUUAACCGCAGGCCUGCUUCCGAUACGGGCGAGCUAGAGUUCGGCAGGGGAGACUGGAAUUCCUGGUGUAGCGGUGGAAUGCGCAGAUAUCAGGAGGAACACCGGUGGCGAAGGCGGGUCUCUGGGCCGAUACUGACACUGAGAGACGAAAGCUAGGGGAGCAAAUGGG
RNAcentral lists this ribosomal RNA (253 nucleotides) under uncultured bacterium. RNAcentral's name for it is "partial 16S ribosomal RNA". It matches the Rfam family "Bacterial small subunit ribosomal RNA", at positions 524 to 776 of the family's 1533-position model. The record is from RNAcentral.